This 253-nucleotide ribosomal RNA is filed under the name uncultured bacterium. Its description in RNAcentral is "partial 16S ribosomal RNA". It matches the Rfam family "Bacterial small subunit ribosomal RNA", at positions 524 to 776 of the family's 1533-position model. The record is from RNAcentral.
UACGUAGGGUGCGAGCGUUGUCCGGAAUUAUUGGGCGUAAAGAGCUCGUAGGCGGUGUGUCGCGUCGGCCGUGAAAACCCGGGGCUCAACUCCGGGCUUGCAUUCGAUACGGGCAGACUAGAGUUCGGUAGGGGAGGCUGGAAUUCCUGGUGUAGCGGUGAAAUGCGCAGAUAUCAGGAGGAACACCGGCGGCGAAGGCGGGUCUCUGGGCUGAUACUGACGCUGAGGAGCGAAAGCGUGGGGAGCAAACAGG